AACGAACGCUGGCGGCAUGCCUAACACAUGCAAGUCGAACGAGACCUUCGGGUCUAGUGGCGCACGGGUGCGUAACGCGUGGGAACCUGCCCUUAGGUUCGGAAUAACUCCCCGAAAGGGGUGCUAAUACCGGAUAAAGUCUUCGGACCAAAGAUUUAUCGCCUUUGGAUGGGCCCGCGUUGGAUGAGAUGGUUGGUAGGGUAAAAGCCUACCAAGGCGACGAGCCGUAGCUGGUCAGAGAGGAUGAUCGGCCACACUGGGACUGAGACACGGCCCAGACGCAGACGGGAGGCAGCAGGGGGGAAGCAACCGCAGGGGGAGAAAGCCGGACGGAGCAACGCCGGGUGAGGGAUGACGGCCUUCGGUUUGUAAAACUCUGUGAGCCGGGACGAAAAGGCAGAGAGCGAAGAACAAACUGCAUUGACGGUACCGGAAAAGCAAGCCACGGCUAACUACGUG
RNAcentral lists this ribosomal RNA (459 nucleotides) under uncultured bacterium. RNAcentral's name for it is "partial 16S ribosomal RNA". It matches the Rfam family "Bacterial small subunit ribosomal RNA", at positions 29 to 507 of the family's 1533-position model. The record is from RNAcentral.